GUUCAGGGCAUGUUUGUACUAACUUAUCUGGGUAAAGGGAAAGCUGAUCCUUUAAAUUAUAUUUGCUGUGACUCUGGAAACUGAGCAAACAAAGUCUGAGGGAAACUUCACUCUCAAGCAGAACUGACAGAAGGUACGAGGACCGAAGCUCAGGGAUCUUCUGUAGGACACACCUGCCUCAGGAUUCACAACUGAAUUGCAAAUCUCUAACAACCUGGGGAGUUUAGUCCAGACUUGUUGGACAUACCUCAUCCCGAUGGCAAAUGAGAGACUGGUUCAGCCCCAGAUUGUCAGACUACUACUUUGGUCUUCUUGAACUACGGGGAAAUAUGUUUGCCUGCAAAGCACAUUCAGGUUCACUCAAAAACAACGAGCCCAUCAAAGAGCCUCUGAACGUUUUAUCUCAUAAGGGAUCACCAUCUCCAGUAAACUCUGAUAAGACGUUAGACGAACUAUGGAUCCAAAGGGAGCUGAACCAUGGUUACGCUCAUGUCACCAGAGCAUGGCCAUCUAACGAUGGCCAUGAGGAUCAUUUCUAGUGCCUGCCUGCUUGGGGAUCCUAAGAAUUCCAGAGACAAAACUGUGCUUUGGUCUGUCAGGGUGUUGCAUGACUUCUGUCACCAGCAAGAGCACAGGGCACUCAGCACCAUUUGUGUGAUGCUGGGGUAAGAUUUUUAACUAGUUGCUUUAAUGUAUGUUGUUCUAGUAGUCAGAUUCUUUCUUCUCCCCUACAACUAGACAGAGAAUUAUAGGAUGAAAUACAGGGGUUUUGGUCAGAAAACUGAUUUGUCAUGAUGAGAUUCUACUGAUUUUGAUGAUAUGGGGGAAAGCUGUUUAGGCUCUGUAUCAAAUUCAUUGUUGAUAAGUGAGAGAGAAAAGAAAACCUCCUCCAAAC
Molecule: long non-coding RNA, 895 nt
Filed under: Aquila chrysaetos chrysaetos
Lineage: Eukaryota; Metazoa; Chordata; Aves; Accipitriformes; Accipitridae
Description: lncRNA (ENSACCG00020006828.1)
Source: RNAcentral